UACGGAGGGUGCGAGCGUUAAUCGGAAUUACUGGGCGUAAAGGGUGCGUAGGUGGUUAGUUAAGUUAUCUGUAAAAUCCCUGGGCUCAACCUGGGCAGGUCAGAUAAGACUGGUUAACUCGAGUAUGGGAGAGGGUAGUGGAAUUUCCGGUGUAGCGGUGAAAUGCGUAGAGAUCGGAAGGAACACCAGUGGCGAAGGCGGCUACCUGGCCUAAUACUGACACUGAGGCACGAAAGCGUGGGGAGCAAACAGGAUUAGAUACCCUGGUAGUCCACGCUGUAAACGAUGUCAACUAGCUGUUGGUUAUAUGAAUAUAAUUAGUGGCGCAGCAAACGCGAUAAGUUGACCGCCUGGGGAGUACGGUCGCAAGAUUA
This 374-nucleotide ribosomal RNA is filed under the name uncultured prokaryote. RNAcentral describes it as "bacterial SSU rRNA". It matches the Rfam family "Bacterial small subunit ribosomal RNA", at positions 524 to 896 of the family's 1533-position model. The record is from RNAcentral.